UGAUGAGCGCUAGCGGCAAGCUGAACACAUGCAAGUCGAUGGGCACCGCGGGUAGCAAUACCUGGCGGCGACCGGCGAACGGGUGAUUAACGCGUGAGCAACGUGCCCGUAUGUGGGGGAUAUUCCAUGGAAACGUCGCGUAAUAUCCCGUAACACAUUUCCCCGCAUGAGGAGAUCUUGAAAGAUUCAUUGCAUACGGAUCGGCUCGCGUGGCAUAAGGUAAACUGCGGGGUAACGGCCCACCGUGCCAACAAUCGCUAUGGGCUCUGAUAUGAAUGUCCCCCACAUAGGAACUGAAACACGGUCCAGACUCCUACGGAGAUGCACCAUAUGACGAAUAUUGUGACAUGGCCGGAAUGCUGAUCCAGACAUGCCGCGUGCGGGAGGACGGCCCUAUGGGUAGUAAACCGCUCAUGCGAGGGAGCAAUAACGUCCACGUGUGGGCCGAUGAGAGUACCUGAUGAAUAAGCAUAGGCUAAGUCCGUGCCAACAGCCGCGGUAAUAAGGAGGAUGCAAGCGUUAUCCGGAUUUAUUGGAUUUAAAGGGUGCGUAGACGCUGGAUUAAGCGGGAGGUGAGAUGCAGGAGCUAAACGUUCGGAAGUACCUCCCGAACUGAUGGACUGGAAUGAUUAUGUCAUGGGAGGUAAGUGUAGUGUAGCGCUAUCAUGCUUAGAGAGUACACAAGAACACAGAUUGGGUAGGCAUGUAUCGAAGGUAUAAUCGACAUUGAGCCAAGAAAGUGUGGGGCUCUAACUCGAUUACAAAGCCUGAUAUUCCCC
This 779-nucleotide ribosomal RNA is filed under the name uncultured bacterium. RNAcentral describes it as "bacterial SSU rRNA". It matches the Rfam family "Bacterial small subunit ribosomal RNA", at positions 26 to 798 of the family's 1533-position model. The record is from RNAcentral.